AAACACACACAACACCCAGUUUAAUUUUUGCAAGUUUGUUUUGGUGGCUAUGCUUAUGGGAUAGAUUAAAAUUGCCAUGAUCUGAAGAGGGAGGAUUUAUUUGUGUCCUCCUCCUAUAUGAAAUGGCUGAACAGACCAAA
Suricata suricatta (meerkat) is the source of this 140-nucleotide small nucleolar RNA. The record is from Ensembl. NCBI's taxonomy places the organism in Eukaryota, Metazoa, Chordata, Mammalia, Carnivora, Herpestidae.